RNAcentral lists this ribosomal RNA (274 nucleotides) under uncultured bacterium. RNAcentral's name for it is "partial 16S ribosomal RNA". It matches the Rfam family "Bacterial small subunit ribosomal RNA", at positions 523 to 796 of the family's 1533-position model. The record is from RNAcentral.
AUACGAAGGGGGCAAGCGUUGUUCGGAAUAACUGGGCGUAAAGCGCACGUAGGCGGAAUGUUAAGUUAGAGGUGAAAUCCCAGGGCUCAACCCUGGAACUGCCUUUAAUACUGGCAAUCUAGAGACCGAGAGAGGUGAGUGGAAUUCCGAGUGUAGAGGUGAAAUUCGUAGAUAUUCGGAGGAACACCAGUGGCGAAGGCGGCUCACUGGCUCGGUACCGACGCUGAGGUGCGAAAGCGUGGGGAGCAAACAGGAUUAGAAACCCUAGUAGUCC